RNAcentral lists this ribosomal RNA (460 nucleotides) under uncultured bacterium. RNAcentral describes it as "partial 16S ribosomal RNA". It matches the Rfam family "Bacterial small subunit ribosomal RNA", at positions 338 to 795 of the family's 1533-position model. The record is from RNAcentral.
CCUACGGGAGGCAGCAGUGAGGAAUAUUGGUCAAUGGGCGCGAGCCUGAACCAGCCAAGUAGCGUGAAGGAUGAAGGCCCUACGGAUUGUAAACUUCUUUUAUAAGGGAAUAAAGUGAGGCACGUGUGCCUUUUUGUAUGUACUUUAUGAAUAAGGAUCGGCUAACUCCGUGCCAGCAGCCGCGGUAAUACGGAGGAUCCGAGCGUUAUCCGGAUUUAUUGGGUUUAAAGGGUGCGUAGAUGGGUUGUUAAGUCAGUUGUGAAAGUUUGCGGCUCAACCGUAAAAUUGCAAUUGAUACUGGCAGCCUUGAGUACAGUUGAGGUAGGCGGAAUUCGUGGUGUAGCGGUGAAAUGCUUAGAUAUCACGAUGAACUCCGAUUGCGAAGGCAGCUUACUAAGCUGCCACUGACAUUGAUGCUCGAAAGUGUGGGUAUCAAACAGGAUUAGAUACCCUAGUAGUC